Molecule: ribosomal RNA, 460 nt
Filed under: uncultured bacterium
Lineage: Bacteria
Description: partial 16S ribosomal RNA
Rfam family: Bacterial small subunit ribosomal RNA
Source: RNAcentral
CCUACGGGAGGCAGCAGUGAGGAAUAUUGGUCAAUGGACGAGAGUCUGAACCAGCCAAGUAGCGUGAAGGAUGACUGCCCUAUGGGUUGUAAACUUCUUUUAUAUGGGAAUAAAACGUUCCACGUGUGGGAUUUUGUAUGUACCAUAUGAAUAAGGAUCGGCUAACUCCGUGCCAGCAGCCGCGGUAAUACGGAGGAUCCGAGCGUUAUCCGGAUUUAUUGGGUUUAAAGGGAGCGUAGGUGGAUUGUUAAGUCAGUUGUGAAAGUUUGCGGCUCAACCGUAAAAUUGCAGUUGAUACUGGCAGUCUUGAGUACAGUAGAGGUGGGCGGAAUUCGUGGUGUAGCGGUGAAAUGCUUAGAUAUCACGAAGAACUCCGAUUGCGAAGGCAGUUCACUGGACUGCAACUGACACUGAGGCUCGAAAGUGUGGGUAUCAAACAGGAUUAGAUACCCGAGUAGUC